AACAAUAUCAAGCAACCAGACUCCCC
This 26-nucleotide non-coding RNA is filed under the name Mus musculus (house mouse). Lineage: Eukaryota; Metazoa; Chordata; Mammalia; Rodentia; Muridae. The record is from RNAcentral.